RNAcentral lists this unclassified non-coding RNA (422 nucleotides) under Hevea brasiliensis (rubber tree). The record is from RNAcentral. Lineage: Eukaryota; Viridiplantae; Streptophyta; Magnoliopsida; Malpighiales; Euphorbiaceae.
GAUGGUGAGUUGCAUGGUAUAAUUUAAGUAUGGAACUUAACUGUUGACAGGAUUGCGGAGGAAUGCAUCCCUGGCUUCUCUGUAGCAAAUCCAUAUGUGACACAUUAGUACUUCACAUGAUGUCUGUUGGUUAAAAGUUGAUUUAGUUACUGAAAUUCAAACAUGAAUAAAUAUCAAACAACACUCAAGUUUGACAGUCAGAAAGGUAAGUAAGCCAGGCUACAGAGAAAUAUCUUGAGAGGUUUUGAUUGCUCAACCCAACCAUUGAAGUGCUGCUACUACCCCUUAUUCCUUUUGAAAAAACUUAAACACUGAAUAGCCAUCUUUCUCUUCUAUCUUUCCUCAUUCUGCCAUUGGUUCUUGACUUCUUGCAUUCUGAAAGCAAUUUAUCCACCAACCAAGAUUCUUCCUUCCUAAGCUUC